Molecule: ribosomal RNA, 1196 nt
Filed under: Desulfuromonadales bacterium
Lineage: Bacteria; Pseudomonadati; Thermodesulfobacteriota; Desulfuromonadia; Desulfuromonadales
Description: partial 23S ribosomal RNA
Rfam family: Bacterial large subunit ribosomal RNA
Source: RNAcentral
CAUUAGGUCUAGCGAUUUGCACGUGAAGCCGAAGGGGGUCGCAGAGAAAUGGCGGUAGCGACUGUUUACUAAAAACACAGGACUCUGCUAAGUCGUAAGACGAUGUAUAGGGUCUGACGCCUGCCCGGUGCUGGAAGGUUAAGGGGAUUUGUUAGCGCAAGCGAAGCUUUGAACCGAAGCCCCAGUAAACGGCGGCCGUAACUAUAACGGUCCUAAGGUAGCGAAAUUCCUUGUCGGGUAAGUUCCGACCUGCACGAAUGGCGUAACGAUUUCCGCGCUGUCUCAACCAGUGGCUCAGCGAAAUUGAAUUCUCGGUGAAGAUGCCGAGUACCCGCGGUAAGACGGAAAGACCCCGUGAACCUUUACUAUAGCUUGACAGUGACAUUCGGAAUAGCUUGUGUAGGAUAGGUGGGAGACUUUGAAGCUGGCACGCCAGUGUCGGUGGAGUCGCCCUUGAAAUACCACCCUGGUUGUUUUGGAUGUCUAACCUUGGCCCGUCAUCCGGGUCGGGGACACUGUCUGGUGGGUAGUUUGACUGGGGCGGUCGCCUCCCAAAGAGUAACGGAGGCGCGCGAAGGUUCCCUCAGGUUGAUUGGAAACCAACCGUAGAGUGCAAUGGCAUAAGGGAGCUUGACUGCGAGACCCACAAGUCGAGCAGGUACGAAAGUAGGUCAUAGUGAUCCGGCGGUUCUGUAUGGAAGGGCCGUCGCUCAACGGAUAAAAGGUACUCCGGGGAUAACAGGCUGAUCUCCCCCAAGAGUUCACAUCGACGGGGAGGUUUGGCACCUCGAUGUCGGCUCAUCGCAUCCUGGGGCUGAAGUAGGUCCCAAGGGUUUGGCUGUUCGCCAAUUAAAGCGGUACGCGAGCUGGGUUUAAAACGUCGUGAGACAGUUUGGUCCCUAUCUACCGUGGGCGCAGGAUACUUGAGAAGAGUUGUCCUUAGUACGAGAGGACCGGGAUGAACGUACCGCUGGUGUUCCAGUUGUGCCGCCAGGCGCAGUCGCUGGGUAGCUACGUACGGAAAGGAUAACCGCUGAAAGCAUCUAAGCGGGAAGCCUCCUUCAAGAUUAGGUAUCCCUGGGUGUAAUAACCCCUAAAGGCCCGUUGUAGACCACAACGUUGAUAGGCCGGGUGUGUAAGUGCAGUAAUGCAUUUAGCUUACCGGUACUAAUCGGCCGUGAGGCUUGACCAUAAAA